Molecule: ribosomal RNA, 116 nt
Filed under: Salmonella enterica subsp. enterica serovar Typhimurium
Lineage: Bacteria; Pseudomonadati; Pseudomonadota; Gammaproteobacteria; Enterobacterales; Enterobacteriaceae
Source: RNAcentral
UCUGGCGGCAGUAGCGCGGUGGUCCCACCUGACCCCAUGCCGAACUCAGAAGUGAAACGCCGUAGCGCCGAUGGUAGUGUGGGGUCUCCCCAUGCGAGAGUAGGGAACUGCCAGCC